GUGGGGAAUCUUGCGCAAUGGGGGAAACCCUGACGCAGCGACGCCGCGUGAGCGAUGAAGGCCUUCGGGUUGUAAAGCUCUUUUAUUAGGGACGAAAUCCUGCAUGCGAAUAGUGUGCGGGGAUGACGGUACCUAAUGAAUAAGCCCCGGCUAACUACGUGCCAGCAGCCGCGGUAAGACGUAGGGGGCGAGCGUUGUCCGGAAUUACUGGGCGUAAAGAGCGUGUAGGCGGGCUGUUAAGUCAGAUGUGAAAGACCGCGGCUCAACUGCGGGGUGGCAUCUGAUACUGGCAGUCUUGAGGGCAGGAGAGGGAAGUGGAAUUCCUGGUGUAGCGGUGAAAUGCGUAGAUAUCAGGAGGAACACCAGUGGCGAAGGCGGCUUCCUGGACUGACCCUGACGCUGAGACGCGAAAGCGUGGGGAGCAAACAGGAUUAGAAACCCUAGUAGUCC
RNAcentral lists this ribosomal RNA (450 nucleotides) under uncultured bacterium. Its description in RNAcentral is "bacterial SSU rRNA". It matches the Rfam family "Bacterial small subunit ribosomal RNA", at positions 354 to 796 of the family's 1533-position model. The record is from RNAcentral.